CUAUGCGCCUUGCCAGCCCGCUCAGUCAGAGUUUGAUCCUGGCUCAGAACGAACGCUGGCGGCAGGCCUAACACAUGCAAGUCGAGCGAGCAUUUCGGUGCUAGCGGCGGACGGGUGAGUAACGCGUGGGAACGUGCCCUUUUCUGCGGAAUAGUCCUGGGAAACUGGGGGUAAUACCGCAUACGCCCUUUUGGGGAAAGAUUUAUCGGAGAAGGAUCGGCCCGCGUUGGAUUAGGUAGUUGGUGGGGUAAUGGCCCACCAAGCCGACGAUCCAUAGCUGGUUUGAGAGGAUGAUCAGCCACACUGGGACUGAGACACGGCCCAG
RNAcentral lists this ribosomal RNA (325 nucleotides) under uncultured bacterium. RNAcentral's name for it is "partial 16S ribosomal RNA". It matches the Rfam family "Bacterial small subunit ribosomal RNA", at positions 1 to 334 of the family's 1533-position model. The record is from RNAcentral.